RNAcentral lists this ribosomal RNA (328 nucleotides) under uncultured eukaryote. Its description in RNAcentral is "partial 18S ribosomal RNA". It matches the Rfam family "Eukaryotic small subunit ribosomal RNA", at positions 1470 to 1796 of the family's 1831-position model. The record is from RNAcentral.
CCCUUAGAUGUUCUGGGCUGCACGUGCGCUACAAUGCGGGGUGCAUCGAGUAUACAACCUUGACUGAGAGGUCUGGGUAAUCUUUUGAACGCCCCGCGUGCUGGGGAUAGAUGAUUGUAAUUAUUCAUCUUCAACGAGGAAUUCCUAGUAAACGCAAGUCAUCAACUUGCAUUGAUUACGUCCCUGCCCUUUGUACACACCGCCCGUCGCUACUACUGAUUGGAUGUUUAAGCGAGGUUCUCGAACUGCUAGCGACUUAGCUUCGGUGAGGUCGCAGUGUGGGAAGUGAACCUAGCUUUGGUGUCUAGAGGAAGUAAAAGUCGUAACA